RNAcentral lists this ribosomal RNA (502 nucleotides) under uncultured bacterium. RNAcentral's name for it is "partial 16S ribosomal RNA". It matches the Rfam family "Bacterial small subunit ribosomal RNA", at positions 30 to 523 of the family's 1533-position model. The record is from RNAcentral.
AUUGAACGCUGGCGGCAUGCCUUACACAUGCAAGUCGAACGGCGGCAUAGGAGCUUGCUCCUGAUGUCGAGUGGCGAACGGGUGAGUAAUAUAUCGGAACGUGCCCUAGAGUGGGGGAUAACUAGUCGAAAGACUAGCUAAUACCGCAUACGAUCUACGGAUGAAAGUGGGGGAUCGCAAGACCUCAUGCUCCUGGAGCGGCCGAUAUCUGAUUAGCUAGGUGGUGGGGUAAAAGCCUACCAAGGCGACGAUCAGUAGCUGGUCUGAGAGGACGACCAGCCACACUGGGACUGAGACACGGCCCAGACUCCUACGGGAGGCAGCAGUGGGGAAUUUUGGACAAUGGGGGCAACCCUGAUCCAGCAAUGCCGCGUGAGUGAAGAAGGCCUUCGGGUUGUAAAGCUCUUUCGUCAGGGAAGAAACGGUAGUAGCUAAUAUCUAUUACUAAUGACGGUACCUGAAGAAUAAGCACCGGCUAACUACGUGCCAGCCGCCGCCGUAA